Molecule: unclassified non-coding RNA, 380 nt
Filed under: uncultured bacterium
Lineage: Bacteria
Description: contains 16S-23S intergenic spacer region
Source: RNAcentral
UCCGAGUUGACCCCGGCAGUCUCUUAUGAGUCCCCGCCAUCACGCGCUGGCAACAUAAGACAAGGGUUGCGCUCGUUGCGGGACUUAACCCAACAUCUCACGACACGAGCUGACGACAGCCAUGCAGCACCUGUGCACGAGUCCCGAAGGAGGCCCUCGGUUUCUCGAGGGUUUCUCGUGUAUGUCAAGCCUAGGUAAGGUUCUUCGCGUUGCGUCGAAUUAAACCACAUGAUCCACCGCUUGUGCGGGCCCCCGUCAAUUCCUUUGAGUUUCAGCCUUGCGGCCGUACUCCCCAGGCGGGGUACUUACUGCGUUAGCGACGGCACCGAAGGGGUCGCUCCCCCCGACGCCUAGUACCCAUCGUUUACGGCGUGGACUAC